CCUGUUUGAAUGCAACUUCCGAUGAGUAAUCCAAAUUACCUGUAUAAACACUUGUAAAAAAUGUUAGAAACAAAUAAAUAAUAAUCAAAAUAAAUUGAACAAGUAUGUGUGCAUAUAAAUAUUUAAAAAUAUAAUUUUUUUGGUUUAAAAAUGGGCUCAGAUAAAGUCAAGACUGCGAAAUGGUUGCUCAAUUAAUUGGCCGUCCUAAAUCGCUUUGCUACGAAGUGUUUGCUCAAUUAAUUGGCCGUCCCAAAUCGUCUUUCCAAAAUAUUAAUUGUAAAAUCUUGGGUUGUUAUAAAGUUUCAACAUCGCCCAAAAAAUAUUUUUAUUACGUAUUUGUAUACGUAAAAUCUGUCAUUUAUUUACGGAGGCCUCAAAUGAAUAAUAAUUUUUUUCAUCGGCCACGAUAGUAUUUGUUUGUUAUCAGUGUAUAUCCAAAAAUGAGUACAGGAAGAUAAAAUUCCAUCUAAACCAUCCCAAAAGUGUCAAACACAAUAAAACAACAUCCAAAACAAAAGUGAUCCCAAAACAAGCAAAUCAAUGGAAACAUGUAAAGAAAUGCUCAAAAGGGAGCUUGGCUGAAAAUUCAAAGCCACAAGAUCGGAGACCACAAAAGAUAUUGACGGCGUUGCUUCGAUGGUGUUCACCGGAGCAACAACGAAAAACGUGAUUACGACCAGAUCUGGCUAGUUCUUGAUGAGAAAAAUGAAAUGGGAAGUAAAGGAGGGGGGCUGCCGCGAUGUGGUGGUGGCGUGGCUGGAGCUCAAAGCUCGUCGGCCAUCAACUCUAGCGAAAUAGCGGCAUAACAAAUGAAGAAGGAGAGGGCGGCAGUGAUGGUGACUCGCCGAUCGAAGCUCGUGUGGCUUGUGUUCGGCAUUAGUUCUCCGGCGAUGUGGCUGCCGGAGAACGGAUAAACUUUUAAUGUUUUAGAUCUAUAGAGAAAGUGAAAGCUUAAAUGAAAAAAAAAUUAUGUAGUAGGCACCUGUGUAUAUAUUUUUUCAUGUGUGUUUGUCUUGGUGUUUCGUAGUGUAUGUUUAUGUGUGUUUUGUAAGAAGAAAGGGAGAUUUUUCCUGCCAUUGUCUCCGUUCAAGUCCCCUUAAUAUGAGAAUAAUAUCCCUGAUAUAUAGUACGUGUGUAUAUCCGUUGGAGCGCAUUUUCUGUGUGUGUGAAUCUGUCCAUUUAAAAUUGAUUGUUGCGAAAGAUGAGAAAUAUCAAAAUUCAAGAUUUUCUUUUGAUUUCUUUUUUACUUUUCAAAGAUCAUGUUUAUUGGUUAGGUAAAAAAGAUGAAGAGAAAGAAAAUGUGUGUCUUUUUUUGGUUUGUAUUUGAGAGAGAGAAAAAAUAUGUGUGGGUGUAUGAAAAUGUGUGUGGAGAGAGAAAAGAUGAAUAAAAUUGUCUUCCA
RNAcentral lists this long non-coding RNA (1400 nucleotides) under Capsicum annuum. Its description in RNAcentral is "long non-coding RNA (CANN_LNC004106)". Lineage: Eukaryota; Viridiplantae; Streptophyta; Magnoliopsida; Solanales; Solanaceae. The record is from RNAcentral.